Molecule: ribosomal RNA, 449 nt
Filed under: uncultured prokaryote
Description: bacterial SSU rRNA
Rfam family: Bacterial small subunit ribosomal RNA
Source: RNAcentral
UGGGGAAUAUUGGACAAUGGGGGCAACCCUGAUCCAGCAAUGCCGCGUGUGUGAAGAAGGCCUGCGGGUUGUAAAGCACUUUCAGUAGAGAAGAAAAGCGUAGGGAUAAUACCUCUGCGUCUUGACGUAACCUACAGAAGAAGCACCGGCUAACUCCGUGCCAGCAGCCGCGGUAAUACGGAGGGUGCAAGCGUUAAUCGGAAUUACUGGGCGUAAAGCGCGCGCAGGUGGCCCGUUAAGUCGGCUGUGAAAUCCCCUGGCUCAACCAGGGAAGUGCAGUCGAUACUGGCGGGCUCGAGUCCCGGAGAGGGUGGUAGAAUUCCCAGUGUAGAGGUGAAAUUCGUAGAUAUUGGGAGGAAUACCGGUGGCGAAGGCGACCGCCUGGACGGGUACUGACACUGAGGCGCGAAAGCGUGGGGAGCAAACAGGAUUAGAUACCCCUGUAGUCC